This 254-nucleotide ribosomal RNA is filed under the name uncultured bacterium. Its description in RNAcentral is "partial 16S ribosomal RNA". It matches the Rfam family "Bacterial small subunit ribosomal RNA", at positions 524 to 776 of the family's 1533-position model. The record is from RNAcentral.
UACAGAGGGGGCAAGCGUUGUUCGGAAUUACUGGGCGUAAAGGGCGCGUAGGCGGCCUGUUAAGUCGAACGUGAAAUCCCCCGGGCUCAACCCGGGAACUGCGUCCGAUACUGGCAGGCUUGAAUCCGGGAGAGGGAUGCGGAAUUCCAGGUGUAGCGGUGAAAUGCGUAGAGAUCCGGAAGAACACCGGUGGCGAAGGCGGCGAUCUGGGUAGAUACUGACGCUGAGGUGCGAAAGCGUGGGGAGCAAACAGG